This 1355-nucleotide ribosomal RNA is filed under the name uncultured bacterium. RNAcentral describes it as "bacterial SSU rRNA". It matches the Rfam family "Bacterial small subunit ribosomal RNA", at positions 28 to 1381 of the family's 1533-position model. The record is from RNAcentral.
GAUGAACGCUGGCGGCGUGCCUAACACAUGCAAGUCGAACGGGAACUAUUUUUGCUGAGCUGCUUGCAGAUCAAAAGGAAUAGUUUUAGUGGCGCACGGGUGAGUAACGCGUGAGGAUCUAUCCUUUGGUGGGGGACAACAGUUGGAAACGGCUGCUAAUACCCCAUAAGCCUAUGGGUGAAAGGAGUAAUUCGCCGGAGGCGGAUCUCGCGUCCUAUCAGGUAGUUGGUGGGGUAAGGGCCUACCAAGCCGAAGACGGGUAGCCGGCCUGAGAGGGUGUACGGCCACACUGGAACUGAGACACGGUCCAGACUCCUACGGGAGGCAGCAGUGGGGAAUAUUGGGCAAUGGGGGAAACCCUGACCCAGCGACGCCGCGUGAGGGAAGAAAUUUUUCGGAAUGUAAACCUCUGUUGAUGGGGAAGAAGCUAAUGACGGUACCCAUCGAGGAAGCCCCGGCAAACUACGUGCCAGCAGCCGCGGUAACACGUAGGGGGCGAGCGUUGUCCGGAAUUACUGGGCGUAAAGGGCACGCAGGCUGGAUAAUAAGUCGGAUGUUAAAAGAUGAGGCUCAACCUUAUUUUGCGUUCGAAACUGUUAUCCUGGAGUUUCGGAGAGGGAAGUGGAAUUCCCGGUGUAGCGGUGAAAUGCGUAGAUAUCGGGAGGAACACCAGUGGCGAAGGCGGCUUCCUGGCCGACAACUGACGCUCAUGUGCGAAAGCUGGGGUAGCGAACCGGAUUAGAUACCCGGGUAGUCCCAGCUGUAAACGAUGAAUGCUAGGUGUAGGUAUCGUAGGGUAUCUGUGCCGCAGUUAACGCGUUAAGCAUUCCGCCUGGGGAGUACGAUCGCAAGAUUGAAACUCAAAGGAAUUGACGGGGGCCCGCACAAGCGGUGGAGCACGUGGUUUAAUUCGAUGCAAACCGAAGAACCUUACCUGGGUUUGACAUGUACGUGUUAUGGAUCUGAAAGGUGAAAGACCCUGCUUAGGUAGGGAGCGUACACAGGUGCUGCAUGGUUGUCGUCAGCUCGUGUCGUGAGAUGUUGGGUUAAGUCCCGCAACGAGCGCAACCCUUACACAUCAGUUACUAACGGUAUGGCCGAGGACUCUGAGUGGACUGCCGGCGACAAGCUGGAGGAAGGUGGGGAUGACGUCAAAUCAUCAUGGCCCUUAUGCCCAGGGCUACACACGUGCUACAAUGGUCGGCACAACGGGGAGCGACCGUGCGAGCGGCAGCGAAUCCUUCAAAAGCCGACCCCAGUUCGGAUUGCAGUCUGCAAACUCGACUGCAUGAAAGCUGGAAUCGCUAGUAAUCGUAGAUUCAGCCAAAGCUGCGGUGAAAUGCGUUCCCGGGCCU